UACGGAGGAUCCGAGCGUUAUCCGGAUUUAUUGGGUUUAAAGGGUGCGCAGGCGGGAGAUUAAGUCGGCGGUGAAAUUUUGCAGCUUAACUGUAAAAGUGCCAUCGAUACUGGUUUCCUUGAGUGUAGAUGAAGUAGGCGGAAUUUGUGGUGUAGCGGUGAAAUGCAUAGAUAUCACGAGGAACUCCGAUUGCGCAGGCAGCUUACUAAACUACUACUGACGCUCAGGCACGAAGGCGUGGGGACCAAACAGGAUUAGAUACCCUGGUA
RNAcentral lists this ribosomal RNA (269 nucleotides) under uncultured prokaryote. Its description in RNAcentral is "partial 16S ribosomal RNA". It matches the Rfam family "Bacterial small subunit ribosomal RNA", at positions 524 to 792 of the family's 1533-position model. The record is from RNAcentral.